This 337-nucleotide unclassified non-coding RNA is filed under the name soil metagenome. RNAcentral's name for it is "partial contains 5.8S ribosomal RNA, internal transcribed spacer 2, and large subunit ribosomal RNA". The stretch from base 1 to 120 matches the Rfam family "5.8S ribosomal RNA", at positions 35 to 154 of the family's 154-position model. The record is from RNAcentral.
GAUGAAGAACGCAGCGAAAUGCGAUAAGUAGUGUGAAUUGCAGAAUUCAGUGAAUCAUCGAAUCUUUGAACGCACAUUGCGCCCCAUGGUAUUCCGUGGGGCAUGCCUGUUCGAGCGUCAUUUACCCCCUCGCGCUCCGCUUGGUGUUGGGCGUCUGUCCCGCUUCGCGCGCGGACUCGCCCCAAAGGUAUUGGCAGCGGUCGUGCCAGCUUCUCGCGCAGCACAUUGCGCUUCUCGAGGCACCGGUGGGCCCGCGUCCAUCAAGCUCACCCCCCCAGUUUGACCUCGGAUCAGGUAGGGAUACCCGCUGAACUUAAGCAUAUCAAUAAGCGGAGGA